AGAGUUUGAUCCUGGCUCAGGACGAACGCUGGCGGCGUGCCUAAUACAUGCAAGUCGAACGGAUUGCCUUCGGGCAGUUAGUGGCGGACGGGUGAGUAACACGUGAGUGACCUGCCCUGGAGUGGGGAAUAACUCUGCGAAAGCAGCGCUAAUACCGCAUUCGCUUAUUUCAUCAUCGGAAUAAGUAAAGCUUUACGCGCUUCAGGAGGGGCUUGCGGCCGAUUAGCUAGUCGGUGGGGUAAUGGCCUACCGAGGCAACGAUCGGUAGCUGGUCUGAGAGGAUGACCAGCCACACUGGGACUGAGACACGGCCCAGACUCCUACGGGAGGCAGCAGUAAGGAAUAUUCCACAAUGGUCGCAAGACUGAUGGAGCAACGCCGCGUGCGCGACGAAGCCCUUCGGGGUGUAAAGCGCUUUUCCCAGGGAUGAGAAUGGACAGUACCUGGGGAAUAAGCCUCGGCUAACUACGUGCCAGCAGCCGCGGUAAUACGUAGGAGGCGAGCGUUGUCCGGAAUCACUGGGCGUAAAGCGCGUGUAGGCGGUUACGGAAGUCUGCUGUGAAAACGCUCCGCUUAACGGGGCGAGGUCGGUGGAAACUCCGCGACUGGAGGACGGUAGAGGUAGGUGGAAUUCCCGGUGUAGUGGUGAAAUGCGUAGAGAUCGGGAGGAACACCUGUGGCGAAUGCGGCCUACUGGGCCGGACCUGACGCUGAGACGCGAAGGCGCGGGGAGCGAACGGGAUUAGAUACCCCGGUAGUCCGCGCAGUAAACGAUGUAUACUAGGUGUGGGGGGUAUCAAGCCCCUCUGUGCCGUAGCUAACGCGAUAAGUAUACCGCCUGGGGAGUACGGCCGCAAGGUUAAAACUCCAAAGGAAUUGACGGGGGCCCGCACAAGCAGCGGAGCGUGUGGUUUAAUUCGAUGCGACGCGAAGAACCUUACCUAGACUUGACAUGGCCUUGUAAGCCGUGGAAACACGGCCCCUCUUCGGAGCAAGGUCACAGAUGUUGCAUGGCCGUCGUCAGCUCGUGUCGUGAGAUGUUGGGUUAAGUCCCGCAACGAGCGCAACCCUCGUGGUCUGUUGAAUGUUUCAGGCCAGACUGCCCCCAAAAGGGGAGGAAGGUGGGGAUGACGUCAAGUCCGCAUGGCUCUUACGUCUAGGGCUACACACACGCUACAAUGGCCGGUACAAUGGGCAGCCACGCCGCGAGGCGGAGCGAAUCCCCAAAACCGGUCUCAGUUCGGAUGGUCGGCUGCAACUCGCCUGCCUGAAGUCGGAGUUGCUAGUAACCGCGUGUCAGCAUAGCGCGGUGAAUAUGUUCCCGGGCCUUGUACACACCGCCCGUCACGUCAUGAAAGUUGGUCACACCUGAAGUCCGUGGGCCGACCCGCAAGGGGGGUAGCGGCCGAGGGUGGGGCGGAUGAUUGGGACGAAGUCGUAACAAGGUAACC
Molecule: ribosomal RNA, 1451 nt
Filed under: uncultured bacterium
Lineage: Bacteria
Description: bacterial SSU rRNA
Rfam family: Bacterial small subunit ribosomal RNA
Source: RNAcentral